CGUACACGGUGGAUGCCCUGGCAGUCAGAGGCGAUGAAGGACGUGCUAAUCUGCGAUAAGCGUCGGUAAGGUGAUAUGAACCGUUAUAACCGGCGAUUUCCGAAUGGGGAAACCCAGUGUGUUUCGACACACUAUCAUUAACUGAAUCCAUAGGUUAAUGAGGCGAACCGGGGGAACUGAAACAUCUAAGUACCCCGAGGAAAAGAAAUCAACCGAGAUUCCCCCAGUAGCGGCGAGCGAACGGGGAGGAGCCCAGAGCCUGAAUCAGUGUGUGUGUUAGUGGAAGCGUCUGGAAAGGCGCGCGAUACAGGGUGACAGCCCCGUACACAAAAAUGCACAUGCUGUGAGCUCGAUGAGUAGGGCGGGACACGUGGUAUCCUGUCUGAAUAUGGGGGGACCAUCCUCCAAGGCUAAAUACUCCUGACUGACCGAUAGUGAACCAGUACCGUGAGGGAAAGGCGAAAAGAACCCCGGCGAGGGGAGUGAAAAAGAACCUGAAACCGUGUACGUACAAGCAGUGGGAGCACGCUUAGGCGUGUGACUGCGUACCUUUUGUAUAAUGGGUCAGCGACUUAUAUUCUGUAGCAAGGUUAACCGAAUAGGGGAGCCGAAGGGAAACCGAGUCUUAACUGGGCGUUAAGUUGCAGGGUAUAGACCCGAAACCCGGUGAUCUAGCCAUGGGCAGGUUGAAGGUUGGGUAACACUAACUGGAGGACCGAACCGACUAAUGUUGAAAAAUUAGCGGAUGACUUGUGGCUGGGGGUGAAAGGCCAAUCAAACCGGGAGAUAGCUGGUUCUCCCCGAAAGCUAUUUAGGUAGCGCCUCGUGAAUUCAUCUCCGGGGGUAGAGCACUGUUUCGGCAAGGGGGUCAUCCCGACUUACCAACCCGAUGCAAACUGCGAAUACCGGAGAAUGUUAUCACGGGAGACACACGGCGGGUGCUAACGUCCGUCGUGAAGAGGGAAACAACCCAGACCGCCAGCUAAGGUCCCAAAGUCAUGGUUAAGUGGGAAACGAUGUGGGAAGGCCCAGACAGCCAGGAUGUUGGCUUAGAAGCAGCCAUCAUUUAAAGAAAGCGUAAUAGCUCACUGGUCGAGUCGGCCUGCGCGGAAGAUGUAACGGGGCUAAACCAUGCACCGAAGCUGCGGCAGCGACGCUUAUGCGUUGUUGGGUAGGGGAGCGUUCUGUAAGCCUGUGAAGGUGUGCUGUGAGGCAUGCUGGAGGUAUCAGAAGUGCGAAUGCUGACAUAAGUAACGAUAAAGCGGGUGAAAAGCCCGCUCGCCGGAAGACCAAGGGUUCCUGUCCAACGUUAAUCGGGGCAGGGUGAGUCGACCCCUAAGGCGAGGCCGAAAGGCGUAGUCGAUGGGAAACAGGUUAAUAUUCCUGUACUUGGUGUUACUGCGAAGGGGGGACGGAGAAGGCUAUGUUGGCCGGGCGACGGUUGUCCCGGUUUAAGCGUGUAGGCUGGUUUUCCAGGCAAAUCCGGAAAAUCAAGGCUGAGGCGUGAUGACGAGGCACUACGGUGCUGAAGCAACAAAUGCCCUGCUUCCAGGAAAAGCCUCUAAGCAUCAGGUAACAUCAAAUCGUACCCCAAACCGACACAGGUGGUCAGGUAGAGAAUACCAAGGCGCUUGAGAGAACUCGGGUGAAGGAACUAGGCAAAAUGGUGCCGUAACUUCGGGAGAAGGCACGCUGAUAUGUAGGUGAAGUCCCUCGCGGAUGGAGCUGAAAUCAGUCGAAGAUACCAGCUGGCUGCAACUGUUUAUUAAAAACACAGCACUGUGCAAACACGAAAGUGGACGUAUACGGUGUGACGCCUGCCCGGUGCCGGAAGGUUAAUUGAUGGGGUCAGCGCAAGCGAAGCUCUUGAUCGAAGCCCCGGUAAACGGCGGCCGUAACUAUAACGGUCCUAAGGUAGCGAAAUUCCUUGUCGGGUAAGUUCCGACCUGCACGAAUGGCGUAAUGAUGGCCAGGCUGUCUCCACCCGAGACUCAGUGAAAUUGAACUCGCUGUGAAGAUGCAGUGUACCCGCGGCAAGACGGAAAGACCCCGUGAACCUUUACUAUAGCUUGACACUGAACAUUGAGCCUUGAUGUGUAGGAUAGGUGGGAGGCUUAGAAGUGUGGACGCCAGUCUGCAUGGAGCCGACCUUGAAAUACCACCCUUUAAUGUUUGAUGUUCUAACGUUGACCCGUAAUCCGGGUUGCGGACAGUGUCUGGUGGGUAGUUUGACUGGGGCGGUCUCCUCCUAAAGAGUAACGGAGGAGCACGAAGGUUGGCUAAUCCUGGUCGGACAUCAGGAGGUUAGUGCAAUGGCAUAAGCCAGCUUGACUGCGAGCGUGACGGCGCGAGCAGGUGCGAAAGC
Molecule: ribosomal RNA, 2365 nt
Filed under: Escherichia coli
Lineage: Bacteria; Pseudomonadati; Pseudomonadota; Gammaproteobacteria; Enterobacterales; Enterobacteriaceae
Description: bacterial LSU rRNA
Rfam family: Bacterial large subunit ribosomal RNA
Source: RNAcentral